AUGAUUAAAGGAGAAGAUUGCUUAUCUACCAAACAUAUGCAGAUCAAAUCACGUCUUAUAAUAAGAAGAAAUCUUUCUUGGUAUCAAUCCACUUACCCCUCAAUCAUUGAGAAUCAGAAGAAUCCUUUUCGAGUUUCCAAUUUUUUUUAUUUGAAGUCUGGGUUCUUCUAUCUUUGA
Molecule: ribosomal RNA, 177 nt
Filed under: Triticum aestivum (bread wheat)
Lineage: Eukaryota; Viridiplantae; Streptophyta; Magnoliopsida; Poales; Poaceae
Description: partial small subunit ribosomal RNA
Source: RNAcentral